This 254-nucleotide ribosomal RNA is filed under the name uncultured bacterium. Its description in RNAcentral is "partial 16S ribosomal RNA". It matches the Rfam family "Bacterial small subunit ribosomal RNA", at positions 524 to 776 of the family's 1533-position model. The record is from RNAcentral.
GACGUAGGGUGCAAGCGUUGUCCGGAAUUAUUGGGCGUAAAGAGCUCGUAGGCGGUGUGUCGCGUCGGCCGUGAAAACCUGCAGCUUAACUGUGGGCUUGCGGUCGAUACGGGCAUCACUGGAGUUCGGCAGGGGAGACUGGAAUUCCUGGUGUAGCGGUGAAAUGCGCAGAUAUCAGGAGGAACACCGGUGGCGAAGGCGGGUCUCUGGGCCGAUACUGACGCUGAGGAGCGAAAGCGUGGGGAGCGAACAGG